Acanthosepion pharaonis is the source of this 103-nucleotide non-coding RNA. The record is from the annotation of a GenBank genome assembly. NCBI's taxonomy places the organism in Eukaryota, Metazoa, Mollusca, Cephalopoda, Sepiida, Sepiidae.
UCACAUUGAAACACUGAUUCCCAUACGAACAUGGAAGUUAAGCAACAUCGAGCCUGGUCAGUACCUAAAUGGGUGACCACUUGUGAAUACCAGGUGCUGUAAG